UUCGAUUGUGCCAGCAGCCGCGGUAAUACGGAGGGUGCAAGCGUUAAUCGGAAUUACUGGGCGUAAAGCGCACGCAGGCGGUUGAUUAAGUCAGAUGUGAAAUCCCCGAGCUUAACUUGGGAACUGCAUUUGAAACUGGUCAGCUAGAGUCUUGUAGAGGGGGGUAGAAUUCCAGGUGUAGCGGUGAAAUGCGUAGAGAUCUGGAGGAAUACCGGUGGCGAAGGCGGCCCCCUGGACAAAGACUGACGCUCAGGUGCGAAAGCGUGGGGAGCAAACAGGACUAGAUACCCUGGUAGUCCACGCCGUAAACGAUGUCGAUUUGGAGGCUGUGUCCUUGAGACGUGGCUUCCGGAGUUAACGCGUUAAAUCGACCGCCUGGGGAGUA
RNAcentral lists this ribosomal RNA (385 nucleotides) under uncultured bacterium. RNAcentral describes it as "bacterial SSU rRNA". It matches the Rfam family "Bacterial small subunit ribosomal RNA", at positions 498 to 882 of the family's 1533-position model. The record is from RNAcentral.